Molecule: ribosomal RNA, 497 nt
Filed under: uncultured bacterium
Lineage: Bacteria
Description: partial 16S ribosomal RNA
Rfam family: Bacterial small subunit ribosomal RNA
Source: RNAcentral
GAUGAACGCUGGCGGCGUGCCUAAUACAUGCAAGUCGAGCGAACAGACGAGGAGCUUGCUCCUCUGACGUUAGCGGCGGACGGGUGAGUAACACGUGGAUAACCUACCUAUAAGACUGGGAUAACUUCGGGAAACCGGAUCUAAUACCGGAUAAUAUAUUGAACCGCAUGGUUCAAUAGUGAAAGCCGUUUUUGCUGUCACUUAUAGAUGGAUCCGCGCCGCAUUAGCUAGUUGGUAAGGUAACGGCUUACCAAGGCGACGAUGCGUAGCCGACCUGAGAGGAUGAUCAGCCACACUGGAACUGAGACACGGUCCAGACUCCUACGGGAGGCAGCAGUAGGGAAUCUUCCGCAAUGGGCGAAAGCCUGACGGAGCAACGCCGCGUGAGUGAUGAAGGUCUUCGGAUCGUAAAACUCUGUUAUUAGGGAAGAACAAAUGUGUAAGUAACUAUGCACGUCUUGACGGUACCUAAUCAGAAAGCCACGGCUAACUACGUG